CCUACGGGAGGCAGCAGUGAGGAAUAUUGGGCAAUGGGCGGGAGCCUGAAGCAGCCAAGUCGCGUGAGGGAAGACGGUCCUACGGAUUGUAAACCUCUUUUGCCGGGGAGCAACGGGGUCCUAGCGAAGGCCCGAUGUGAGUACCCGGAGAAAAAGCAUCGGCUAACUACGUGUCAGCAGCAGCGGUAAUACGGGGGAUGCGAGCGUUAACCGGAUUUAGUGGGGUUAAAGGGUGCGUAGGCGGGCUGUUAAGUCAGCGGUCAAAUGUCGGGGUUAAACCCCGGCCUGCCGUUGAAACUGGCUGCCUCGAGUGGGCGAGAAGUAGGCGGAAUGCGUGGUGUAGCGGUGAAAUGCAUAGAUAUCACGCAGAACUCCGGUUGCGAAGGCAGCAUACCGGCGCCCGACUGACGCUGAGGCACGAAAGCGUGGGUAUCGAACAGGAUUAGAUACCCCAGUAGUC
RNAcentral lists this ribosomal RNA (460 nucleotides) under uncultured bacterium. Its description in RNAcentral is "partial 16S ribosomal RNA". It matches the Rfam family "Bacterial small subunit ribosomal RNA", at positions 338 to 795 of the family's 1533-position model. The record is from RNAcentral.